Molecule: long non-coding RNA, 130 nt
Organism: Ipomoea nil (Japanese morning glory)
Lineage: Eukaryota; Viridiplantae; Streptophyta; Magnoliopsida; Solanales; Convolvulaceae
Exons: 3
Source: RefSeq, a predicted model, not a curated record
UUACCGUGUUUGUAAUAGCUUGGAGAAAAUUGCAUUUUUCGUCCCUAAAUUAUACGAUAGUUGUAGUAUUCGUCCUUAAUUGUUGGUUAUGCUCACUUUUCAUCCCUAAUUUAUUAUUAACGUUACACUU